Long non-coding RNA from Etheostoma spectabile (orangethroat darter), 626 nucleotides. RefSeq lists it as uncharacterized. The record is from RefSeq and is a predicted model, not a curated record. Lineage: Eukaryota; Metazoa; Chordata; Actinopteri; Perciformes; Percidae. The transcript is spliced from 3 exons.
GAACAACUGAGAGAGAUGGGAGGAAGAAGAAAGCUGGAAGAAGGUCUGACCCCAUGACCCACAGGAGCACAUGAUCCCUUUCAACAAUCUAUCCUCAUACAACAAAAAAUUCUUCUUAAGGAUCAACCCAGAUGAGGGCACCAAGUGCACUGCUACUGUGGGUACAAGCUACAAGACGGGAAGAGUCGUCCAAAGAAAGGUGACGAGUAUGUGCUCCAGAGUCACCACCUUCCUCCAACAGCUCACCGAAUUUGAGUGGAUGACAUCAAACUAGUCCAGUAUGGACCCCCCCACCAGAGCAUCUCUGGAUUGGAGGCUCCAUCUUCGCCUCUCUGUCCACCUUCCAGAAGAUGUGGAUCAGCAAGCAACAGUACCAUGGGUCCGGCCUUCACAAAUCCUUCUAGCAGACUGUUCCUCCUUCCAAAGCCCAACAACUUCAGCUUUGUGGUAACAACCACACCACAUUUUUUAUACAUUUGCAAAUACAGGUUAUUUAGUUUUCAGCGGGAGUUAAAAUGUUCAAUUCGUUUUGAGAGUCAAUUCAAAUGGUAACUACGUUGUUCAGACAUGUAUCCGCCUCUGAAUGCUGCCCAGUGUUUUGGCGCAUAUUUAGACAUUGUUUUAGU